AGCGAACGCUGGCGGCAGGCCUAAUACAUGCAAGUCGAACGGCUCUUCGGAGCAGUGGCGGACGGGUGAGUAACACGUGGGAACGUGCCCCUUGGUACGGAACAACUGAGGGAAACUUCAGCUAAUACCGUAUGUGCCCCCAUUCUUAGCGGGAUGGGUGGGAAAGAUUUAUCGCCAUUGGAGCGGCCCGCGUUGGAUUAGCUAGUUGGUGGGGUAAAGGCCCACCAAGGCUACGAUCCAUAGCUGGUCUGAGAGGAUGAUCAGCCACACUGGGACUGAGACACGGCCCAGACUCCUACGGGAGGCAGCAGUAGGGAAUCUUGCGCAAUGGGCGAAAGCCUGACGCAGCCAUGCCGCGUGAAUGAUGAAGGUCUUAGGAUUGUAAAAUUCUUUCACCGGGGAAGAUAAUGACGGUACCCGGAGAAGAAGCCCCGGCUAGCUUCGUGCCAGCCGCCGCGGUAA
This 462-nucleotide ribosomal RNA is filed under the name uncultured bacterium. Its description in RNAcentral is "partial 16S ribosomal RNA". It matches the Rfam family "Bacterial small subunit ribosomal RNA", at positions 29 to 523 of the family's 1533-position model. The record is from RNAcentral.